UAGGUUGACUUGGUGACCACUUGGUCGGCUCAGUAGAUCUGAUCUAAAAUUUUAUGUUUCUAUCUUGUCUAUCUUCUGAGACUAGGUCGACUCACUGAUUCUCUAGGUUGACUCACUAUUUAUCUGGAUCAACUCAAUUUGAACUGGGUCGGAUCACUGAACAUGCUUGAAAUUUCAGUAUUUCUAUCUUUUGCUGUCCUUUGAGAUUGGAUCGACUAACUUUCUAAUCGAGUCAAUUAAGAUCCUAUCUUGAUCAACUAACCUAAGUUUUGGAUCGACUAAAUCUUUUAUUUUUUAAAACAUGACUUUCUAUCACC
This 317-nucleotide long non-coding RNA is filed under the name Elaeis guineensis (African oil palm). RNAcentral describes it as "long non-coding RNA (EGUI_LNC057038)". The record is from RNAcentral. Lineage: Eukaryota; Viridiplantae; Streptophyta; Magnoliopsida; Arecales; Arecaceae.